UAACAAUAAACUGUUUAGAACCAUGGGCCGUAUCUUUUCAUCAAGAUCUGCAGUGAGGAGCCAUGAAGAAGGCCUUCACCUACAGAGUCUUAGCCUAAUCUCCCUUAGAAGGCCCCUCUGUGCUCCCUGCCACAACAGCCACCAAGAUGAAGACAAUCACCAUGUGAGACAAGCCUUGUCCCCCAGCACCGGGCUAGAUGCUAUCCCCAGCCCUCAGAUCCCAGACUCUGCUCUCCCAGUGGUGCCUGGAUGUCCAAGAGUCUGAGAAGAACCCCACGGCCCCAGCCUUGUCAUAGGCCCAGGGACCCCAAGCCAGCUCCAGCUUUCCCAUGUCUCAGACUGCACCUUCCCACCCUCAGAUCUGCGUCUUGGCACUUUCCUACAGCCCAGCACCCACCUCAGCAGUGGCGGCAUGGGGUAAGCACAAACUCCCAGAAUUCCACCCAGUGUCAAAGCAGACACAGGCGAACAACCCUACAACGAGACCUCCCAGAAGUUCUUCUUUCAGACAUGGUGUCUGGGGAUGCUUGACCUCAGAAUACAAGCUAAGGACUUUCCCAAGGAGGACCUUGCCAAGUCUGCCCACCUCAUAGUCUUUCUGGUCUCACGAGCCGGGAUCACCUACUUUGUCUGGGAAGUUAACAGGUCAGGACCCAAGUGGACAAGAAAGUUAUGGAGGCUGAGGGCACCGUGGAAGCACCUCUGUGGUAGUUGCAGGCACGUGCGCUGUGCAGCAUUCUUCAACCUAAGAAUGCCAAACCGUCUCUGCUGAGUGUGUCAGCAGCAAAUGCAAAGGCCACUCCCAUAAGAUCUGGUCACCCACAAUAUCACUCAUACUAAUGUGCCAGGGAUUGAACUUGGAUCACCAAGCUUGGAGGCAAGCACCUUUGACAUAGUAAGCCACUGUGGUCCAUAACAACAUUAAACAAAGACCUGGAGUCUUCAAACUGUGUAUGACACACAGAAGUGGGAAAGAGGCAAAUCAUGUGUUACUAGGUACUUUUUUGUGUGGGAAGAAAGUUUUUUGUUAAUUCACUCAACGUUUAUUGAGAGAUGCAAGCCAUCAAAGAAAUGGCCCCUCCAGAAACUAGACACUGCAAACCAAGGGCCAAUGCCUAUCCUGGGUCACCCGAGCUCAGGGAGAGGCUGCAGAAACAGAACGUGCCCUAGAUCCUUGAAGACUUUAUAAUCGUUUAAAAUCACUUAAACUCUCUGGUAAAAGAUAUAGAUACUGGCUAUUACAUAAUUUAUUUUUAUUCAUAACUCUGUAUACUCUUAAUUCUUAAAGUAAUUUCAUUCUUCCUAAUCCAUUAUUCAAAUAUUUUUUCAUGCCCAUU
This 1337-nucleotide long non-coding RNA is filed under the name Mus pahari (shrew mouse). RNAcentral's name for it is "lncRNA (MGP_PahariEiJ_G0003077.1)". Lineage: Eukaryota; Metazoa; Chordata; Mammalia; Rodentia; Muridae. The record is from RNAcentral.